AUUGAACGCUGGCGGCAUGCCUUACACAUGCAAGUCGAACGGUAACAGGUCUUCGGAUGCUGACGAGUGGCGAACGGGUGAGUAAUACAUCGGAACGUGCCCGAUCGUGGGGGAUAACGAAGCGAAAGCUUUGCUAAUACCGCAUAAGAUCUACGGAUGAAAGCAGGGGACCGCAAGGCCUUGCGCGAACGGAGCGGCCGAUGGCAGAUUAGGUAGUUGGUGGGAUAAAAGCUUACCAAGCCGACGAUCUGUAGCUGGUCUGAGAGGACGACCAGCCACACUGGGACUGAGACACGGCCCAGACUCCUACGGGAGGCAGCAGUGGGGAAUUUUGGACAAUGGGCGAAAGCCUGAUCCAGCCAUGCCGCGUGCGGGAUGAAGGCCUUCGGGUUGUAAACUGCUUUUGUACGGAACGAAAAGACUCUGGUUAAUACCUGGGGUCCAUGACGGUACCGUAAGAAUAAGCACCGGCUAACUACGUG
RNAcentral lists this ribosomal RNA (482 nucleotides) under uncultured bacterium. RNAcentral's name for it is "partial 16S ribosomal RNA". It matches the Rfam family "Bacterial small subunit ribosomal RNA", at positions 30 to 507 of the family's 1533-position model. The record is from RNAcentral.